RNAcentral lists this long non-coding RNA (542 nucleotides) under Falco tinnunculus (common kestrel). RNAcentral's name for it is "lncRNA (ENSFTIG00000007789.1)". Lineage: Eukaryota; Metazoa; Chordata; Aves; Falconiformes; Falconidae. The record is from RNAcentral.
ACUUGCUGUAUGAGGAUCUUCACCAGGAGAGGACUUUGCUGAGACCCCAGCAGAUGCUCAUAUGAGGAAGGGAGCAGCCAGAAUAAGCAGAAAUGCUGUGAAAUCCUGCACUCAGGAGCUGCGAAACACCCCAAGCAGCGCAGAGACCCGCUCCUCUUGAAGGCACAUCCUGGGGGCUUGGCUCCAGAGAUAGAAAUUAUUCAAAAUAAACAGGUUGCAGGGGUAACAACCACCCCGUUGCCCACCCCUGCGAGCCCCUGGGAUGUACGUAGGCUUCUAGUUUUGGCAGCUGUGAUUUCGAUCCGCGCGGCGCUGGCAGGGUCCUAAGAGAGCUGCUCACCGAGCUGGGGUCGCUGCCGCAAGGCUGAGCUGAAAUCCAGCGCGGAAGCUUCCCAGGGAGCAGCUCCAGAAAAUCUGGGAGAGGGCGUCGAGAAGCACCUGCGGCUCAACAAGUGUCGGUGAAAUACAGCGGGAUGGUACCUGCAGCAUCCCUGCUGCCGGCGGGAGCUCAGCCCUGCAGCAGGGCUGUCCUGCUGGGGCUG